GGGGAAUCUUCCGCAAUGGGCGAAAGCCUGACGCAGCGACACCGCGUGAAGGAAGAAGGCUUUCGGGUCGUAAACUUCUUUUCUCGGGGAAGAGAACGGACGGUACCCGAGGAAUAAGCAUCGGCUAACUACGUGCCAGCAGCCGCGGUAAUACGUAGGAUGCGAGCGUUGUCCGGAUUUACUGGGCGUAAAGGGCGAGUAGGCGGCUUGGCAAGUCUCAUGUGAAAUCUCCCGGCUCAACUGGGAGGGGUCAUGAGAAACUGCCAGGCUCGAGGUCGGCAGAGGAAAGCGGAAUUCCCGGAGUAGCGGUGGUAUGCGUAGAUACCGGGAGGAACACCAGAGGCGAAGGCGGCUUUCUGGGCUGUGCCUGACGCUGAGACACGAAAGCGUGGGGAGCAAACCGGAUUAGAUACCCGGGUAGUCCACGCCCUAAACGAUGGAUACUAGAUAUGGGGGGUAUCGACCCCUCCCGUGUCGGAGUUAACGCGAUAAGUAUCCCGCCUGGGGAGUACGGCCGCAAGGCUAAAACUCAAAGGAAUUGACGGGUCCCCGCACAAGCGGCGGAGCGUGUGGUUUAAUUCGAUGAUAAGCGAAGAACCUUACCUGGGCUUGACAUGCGUCUGACGGUUCGCGAAAGCGGGCUUUCCUUCGGGACAGGCGCACAGAUGUUGCAUGGCUGUCGUCAGCUCGUGCCGUGAGGUGUUGGGUUAAGUCCCGCAACGAGCGCAACCCUCGUCGUUAGUUACUAUGUCUAGCGAGACUGCUCCUAAAAGGGGAGAGGAAGGUGGGGACGACGUCAAGUCGGCACGGCUCUUACGCUCAGGGCUACACACACGCUACAAUGGUCGGAACAGAGGGUCGCGAGGGCGCGAGCCGGAGCUAAUCCCAAAAAUCCGGCCUCAGUUGGAAUUGCAGGCUGCAACUCGCCUGCAUGAACGCGGAGUCGCUAGUAAUCGCAGGUCAGCACACUGCGGUGAAUACGUUCCCGGGGAUUGUACACACCGCCCGU
RNAcentral lists this ribosomal RNA (1009 nucleotides) under uncultured marine bacterium. Its description in RNAcentral is "bacterial SSU rRNA". It matches the Rfam family "Bacterial small subunit ribosomal RNA", at positions 356 to 1397 of the family's 1533-position model. The record is from RNAcentral.